RNAcentral lists this ribosomal RNA (1345 nucleotides) under uncultured bacterium. RNAcentral describes it as "bacterial SSU rRNA". It matches the Rfam family "Bacterial small subunit ribosomal RNA", at positions 28 to 1381 of the family's 1533-position model. The record is from RNAcentral.
GACGAACGCCGUCGGCGUGCUUACACAUGCAAGUCGAACGGAAAGGCCCUGCUUUUGUGGGGUGCUCGAGUGGCGAACGGGUGAGUAACACGUGAGUAACCUGCCCUUGACUUUGGGAUAACUUCAGGAAACUGGGGCUAAUACCGGAUAGGAGCUCCUGCUGCAUGGUGGGGGUUGGAAAGUUUCGGCGGUUGGGGAUGGACUCGCGGCUUAUCAGCUUGUUGGUGGGGUAGUGGCUUACCAAGGCUUUGACGGGUAGCCGGCCUGAGAGGGUGACCGGCCACAUUGGGACUGAGAUACGGCCCAGACUCCUACGGGAGGCAGCAGUGGGGAAUAUUGCACAAUGGGCGGAAGCCUGAUGCAGCAACGCCGCGUGCGGGAUGACGGCCUUCGGGUUGUAAACCGCUUUCGCCUGUGACGAAGCGUGAGUGACGGUAAUGGGUAAAGAAGCACCGGCUAACUACGUGCCAGCAGCCGCGGUGAUACGUAGGGUGCGAGCGUUGUCCGGAUUUAUUGGGCGUAAAGGGCUCGUAGGUGGUUGAUCGCGUCGGAAGUGUAAUCUUGGGGCUUAACCCUGAGCGUGCUUUCGAUACGGGUUGACUUGAGGAAGGUAGGGGAGAAUGGAAUUCCUGGUGGAGCGGUGGAAUGCGCAGAUAUCAGGAGGAACACCAGUGGCGAAGGCGGUUCUCUGGGCCUUUCCUGACGCUGAGGAGCGAAAGCGUGGGGAGCGAACAGGCUUAGAUACCCUGGUAGUCCACGCUGUAAACGGUGGGUACUAGGUGUGGGGUCCAUUCCACGGGUUCCGUGCCGUAGCUAACGCUUUAAGUACCCCGCCUGGGGAGUACGGCCGCAAGGCUAAAACUCAAAGGAAUUGACGGGGCCCCGCACAAGCGGCGGAGCAUGCGGAUUAAUUCGAUGCAACGCGUAGAACCUUACCUGGGUUUGACAUGGAUCGGGAGUGCUCAGAGAUGGGUGUGCCUCUUUUGGGGUCGGUUCACAGGUGGUGCAUGCCUGUCGUCAGCUCGUGUCGUGAGAUGUUGGGUUAAGUCCCGCAACGAGCGCAACCCUUGUUCACUGUUGCCAGCACGUUAUGGUGGGGACUCAGUGGAGACCGCCGGGGUCAACUCGGAGGAAGGUGGGGAUGACGUCAAGUCAUCAUGCCCCUUAUGUCCAGGGCUUCACGCAUGCUACAAUGGCUGGUACAGAGAGUGGCGAGCCUGUGAGGGUGAGCGAAUCUCGGAAAGCCGGUCUCAGUUCGGAUUGGGGUCUGCAACUCGACCUCAUGAAGUCGGAGUCGCUAGUAAUCGCAGAUCAGCAACGCUGCGGUGAAUACGUUCCCGGGGCU